This 253-nucleotide ribosomal RNA is filed under the name uncultured bacterium. Its description in RNAcentral is "partial 16S ribosomal RNA". It matches the Rfam family "Bacterial small subunit ribosomal RNA", at positions 524 to 776 of the family's 1533-position model. The record is from RNAcentral.
UACGUAGGGGGCCAGCGUUGUUCGGAAUUACUGGGUGUAAAGGGUUCGUAGGCGGUGUGGCAAGUCGGGAGUGAAAUCUCUGGGCUCAACCCAGAGUCUGCUUCCGAAACUGCUGUGCUUGAGUGUGGGAGAGGCGCGUGGAAUUGCAGGUGUAGCGGUGAAAUGCGUAGAUAUCUGCAGGAACACCCGUGGCGAAAGCGGCGCGCUGGACCACUACUGACGCUGAGGAACGAAAGCUAGGGGAGCAAACAGG